Molecule: ribosomal RNA, 292 nt
Filed under: uncultured bacterium
Lineage: Bacteria
Description: partial 16S ribosomal RNA
Rfam family: Bacterial small subunit ribosomal RNA
Source: RNAcentral
GUGUCAGCCGCCGCGGUAAGACGAACCACCCAAACGUUAUUCGGAAUUACUGGGCUUAAAGGGUGCGUAGGCUGUGCGGAAAGUUGGGUGUGAAAUACCUCAGCUUAACUGAGGAACUGCGCUCAAAACUACCGUGCUGGAGGGAGACAGAGGUAAGCGGAACUUAGGGUGGAGCGGUGAAAUGCGUUGAUAUCCUAAGGAACACCGGUGGCGAAAGCGGCUUACUGGGUCUUUUCUGACGCUGAGGCACGAAAGCUAGGGUAGCGAACGGGAUUAGAUACCCUGGUAGUCC